This 766-nucleotide long non-coding RNA is filed under the name Rattus norvegicus (Norway rat). RNAcentral describes it as "long non-coding RNA NONRATT029293". Lineage: Eukaryota; Metazoa; Chordata; Mammalia; Rodentia; Muridae. The record is from RNAcentral.
GAGAGAGAUGGACGUCGCUCUAUCCGCAUGCCCUAGCCCUACAACCCUAAGUGCCCGUUGUCAUCAUGGCCGCCACUGGGCAAGAGAAUGCAGGGCCAAGACUGACAGUCAGGGACGCCCUCUGCCCUCUCGCCUGUCAGGAAACUUCUUAUGGGGGCAGCCUCCCGCCCCCUUCCCACGGACAGACCCCGGGGCAAUAGGGUUUGUUCCUUAGGCUUCCCAUGUUCCCCAGUUUGCUCCGUGGCUGAUCUCUGGCGGGCCACAAGUGGUAGCUCAGGAUGGACCUCUGUGCCUCCUCCGGCACAAUCUUAACACCUGAGAAGGCAUCCGGGCCCUGCCUCCAGGGACUUUGGGCCUGAUAUCCGGCCGUGCUUCCUCUUCCAUUAAAGGGCUUCAGAUUACUCCAGGAAUAAUAGACACAGGGCAAAAUGAGGAAAUCCAGGUCCUGGCCAGGGCCUCCAACGAUCCCAUAUUUAUAUCCACUUAACAGGCCAUUGCUCAGUUAGUUUUGCUUCCCAAAACUUCAAUUAACAAUCCUUAUACAAAGAUUCCAGAGAGCCAAAAGAACGUAAAAUAUCUGAGGUAUUUUGGGCUCAAAGGAUUUCUGCCUCUCGCCCCAUGCUUAUUCUUAAGUUAAAGGGAAAGUCUUUUCAAGGUCUGUUAGACUCUGGGGCUGAUGCCACAAUCAUUUCAAGCAAAUUUUGGCCCGCUACAUGGCCAUUGACUGAUUCUGACACCCAUCUCCAGUGUAUAGGACAUUCUAAAA